AACGCUAGCUACAGGCUUAACACAUGCAAGUCGAGGGGCAGCGGGAUUGAAGCUUGCUUCAAUUGCCGGCGACCGGCGCACGGGUGAGUAACGCGUAUCCAACCUUCCGUACACUCAGGGAUAGCCUUUCGAAAGAAAGAUUAAUACCUGAUGGUAUGAUGAGAUUGCAUGAUAGCAUCAUUAAAGAUUUAUCGGUGUACGAUGGGGAUGCGUUCCAUUAGGUAGUAGGCGGGGUAACGGCCCACCUAGCCAACGAUGGAUAGGGGUUCUGAGAGGAAGGUCCCCCACAUUGGAACUGAGACACGGUCCAAACUCCUACGGGAGGCAGCAGUGAGGAAUAUUGGUCAAUGGGCGAGAGCCUGAACCAGCCAAGUAGCGUGAAGGAUGACUGCCCUAUGGGUUGUAAACUUCUUUUAUAAAGGAAUAAAGUCGGGUAUGCAUACCCGUUUGCAUGUACUUUAUGAAUAAGGAUCGGCUAACUCCGUGCCAGCAGCCGCGGUAAUACGGAGGAUCCGAGCGUUAUCCGGAUUUAUUGGGUUUAAAGGGAGCGUAGGCGGACGCUUAAGUCAGUUGUGAAAGUUUGCGGCUCAACCGUAAAAUUGCAGUUGAUACUGGGUGUCUUGAGUACAGUAGAGGCAGGCGGAAUUCGUGGUGUAGCGGUGAAAUGCUUAGAUAUCACGAAGAACUCCGAUUG
This 694-nucleotide ribosomal RNA is filed under the name uncultured bacterium. Its description in RNAcentral is "bacterial SSU rRNA". It matches the Rfam family "Bacterial small subunit ribosomal RNA", at positions 32 to 715 of the family's 1533-position model. The record is from RNAcentral.